CAGUCGACGCUUCUUUUUCCCCGGAGCUUGCUCCACCGGAAAAAGAAGAGUGGCGAACGGGUGAGUAACACGUGGGUAACCUGCCCAUCAGAAGGGGAUAACACUUGGAAACAGGUGCUAAUACCGUAUAACAAUCAAAACCGCAUGGUUUUGAUUUGAAAGGCGCUUUCGGGUGUCGCUGAUGGAUGGACCCGCGGUGCAUUAGCUAGUUGGUGAGGUAACGGCUCACCAAGGCCACGAUGCAUAGCCGACCUGAGAGGGUGAUCGGCCACAUUGGGACUGAGACACGGCCCAAACUCCUACGGGAGGCAGCAGUAGGGAAUCUUCGGCAAUGGACGAAAGUCUGACCGAGCAACGCCGCGUGAGUGAAGAAGGUUUUCGGAUCGUAAAACUCUGUUGUUAGAGAAGAACAAGGAUGAGAGUAACUGUUCAUCCCUUGACGGUAUCUAACCAGAAAGCCACGGCUAACUACGUGCCAGCAGCCGCGGUAAUACGUAGGUGGCAAGCGUUGUCCGGAUUUAUUGGGCGUAAAGCGAGCGCAGGCGGUUUCUUAAGUCUGAUGUGAAAGCCCCCGGCUCAACCGGGGAGGGUCAUUGGAAACUGGGAGACUUGAGUGCAGAAGAGGAGAGUGGAAUUCCAUGUGUAGCGGUGAAAUGCGUAGAUAUAUGGAGGAACACCAGUGGCGAAGGCGGCUCUCUGGUCUGUAACUGACGCUGAGGCUCGAAAGCGUGGGGAGCAAACAGGAUUAGAUACCCUGGUAGUCCACGCCGUAAACGAUGAGUGCUAAGUGUUGGAGGGUUUCCGCCCUUCAGUGCUGCAGCUAACGCAUUAAGCACUCCGCCUGGGGAGUACGACCGCAAGGUUGAAACUCAAAGGAAUUGACGGGGGCCCGCACAAGCGGUGGAGCAUGUGGUUUAAUUCGAAGCAACGCGAAGAACCUUACCAGGUCUUGACAUCCUUUGACCACUCUAGAGAUAGAGCUUCCCCUUCGGGGGCAAAGUGACAGGUGGUGCAUGGUUGUCGUCAGCUCGUGUCGUGAGAUGUUGGGUUAAGUCCCGCAACGAGCGCAACCCUUAUUGGUAG
RNAcentral lists this ribosomal RNA (1083 nucleotides) under Limosilactobacillus fermentum. Its description in RNAcentral is "bacterial SSU rRNA". It matches the Rfam family "Bacterial small subunit ribosomal RNA", at positions 59 to 1114 of the family's 1533-position model. The record is from RNAcentral. Lineage: Bacteria; Bacillati; Bacillota; Bacilli; Lactobacillales; Lactobacillaceae.